RNAcentral lists this ribosomal RNA (450 nucleotides) under uncultured bacterium. RNAcentral describes it as "bacterial SSU rRNA". It matches the Rfam family "Bacterial small subunit ribosomal RNA", at positions 28 to 458 of the family's 1533-position model. The record is from RNAcentral.
GAUGAACGCUGGCGGCGUGCUUAACACAUGCAAGUCGAACGAAGCACCAUGGACAGAAUUUUUCGGAAGGACGACUAUGGCGACUUAGUGGCGGACGGGUGAGUAACGCGUGGGUAACCUGCCCUGUACUGGGGGACAACAGUUGGAAACGACUGCUAAUACCGCAUAAGCGCACGGCAUCGCAUGAUGCAGUGUGAAAAACUCCGGUGGUACAGGAUGGACCCGCGUCUGAUUAGCUAGUUGGUGAGGUAACGGCUUACCAAGGCAACGAUCAGUAGCCGACUUGAGAGAGUGAUCGGCCACAUUGGGACUGAGACACGGCCCAAACUCCUACGGGAGGCAGCAGUGGGGAAUAUUGCACAAUGGGGGAAACCCUGAUGCAGCGACGCCGCGUGAAGGAAGAAGUAUUUCGGUAUGUAAACUUCUAUCAGCAAGGAAGAAAAUGACGGU